Molecule: long non-coding RNA, 405 nt
Filed under: Homo sapiens (human)
Lineage: Eukaryota; Metazoa; Chordata; Mammalia; Primates; Hominidae
Description: non-protein coding lnc-RNASEH1-7:2
Source: RNAcentral
GCUCCGCUUUUCCUCCACAACCAUGUCUGACAAACCCGAUAUGGCUGAGAUCGAGAAAUUCGAUAAGUCGAAACUGAAGAAGACAGAGACUCAAGAGAAAAAUCCACUGCCUUCCAAAGAAACGACUGAACAGGAGAAGCAAGCAGGCAAAUCGUAGUGAGGCGUGCGCCGCCAAUAUGCACUGUAUAUUCCACAAGCAUUGCCUUCUUAUUUUACUUCUUUUAGCUGUUUAGCUUUGUAAGAUGCAAAGAGAUUGGAUCAAGUUUAAAUGACUGUGCUGCCCCUUUCACAUCAAAGAACUACGGACAACGAAGGCCGCGCCUGUCUCUCCCAUCUGUCUGGCUGGCUGGCAGGGAAGGAAAGAACUUGCAUGUUGGUGAAGGAAGAGGUGGGGUGGGAUGACAG